CUUUUUUUUUCCUCCCCCACCCUCAGGGUGGGUAUUGGUUGGAUUGUUUGGUCGCCAACGCACAAUGAUGAGGCACGGGGGUCGCAGCCCCCAGAUUGUGAUGUCUCGGGGUGCGGUGGACCUGGUGACGCAGGCCAGGGUGCUCCAGGAGCUGGUCCAGGAUGUCUGCCCCUUCCCCAUCCUGCCCCUCUGAGACCCUUCCAGUUGCAAUAGGAACCCAUCCUAUGCCUGGAUCACCUCCCUACUAAAUGCAGCCAAGCCCUCCCUGCCCAUCCCUGAUCCCGGAGGACUAUGGAAAGUACCACCCCUUUCUGGACAUCUAAAGCCAUCCAGAAAAUAGAGAAUGCCGUUCAUAUGGUGAAAGCCAGGAGAGAGACAGUAGGCAGAGCUUUCUGAGCACUCAAAUGUACCUAGGCCUGCUGUUAUCACGACCAUUGCAAGCCCAGCAACUCACCAAUGAGCAAGCGAAGAUGGAGGUCCCAGGCCUGUGUCUCCUGAGUAAAGCGGGCCCUGAAGCGGGGAUGAGAAACCUUCAAGUCAUCUGUGUUUAACCCAAUAACCAAUGGAGAUGAGGAUUACAAAUCAAAGGGAACUCCAGAGAGGAGGAGGAAGUCAGUUUGGAGCAAGAAGCCAGUGUGGAGGGGAGGUCACCAAGGGUCCCUAAAGCCUGACCUUGGAACUGAACCAAAAGGGGAGAGAGACCUGUCCCCACCCCCUGGGGGCAGGCAUCAAGCCAGCCAGGUAGGCUCAGUGGAGAUCAUGGCGGCCUGAGGCCCGGGUAGGACCUCCUUGUGCCUGCCUCGAUUCAUAAUCAGGUGGCCACUUCCCACAUGUUGCCGCCUCCUUCAGAGCCAGGGUUGUGUUAGCAGGCGUUAACACUAGUCCUGUCAAGCCACCACACUUAAAUUCGCUUUCUCUAACUGUUGUGGGCUGAAGUUGGGCUGAAAAUCCUUGUCAGCUUUGCUCUGUCAGGAGACGGGUGGCCAAGAACUUGAAACGGUGUGCGGUCGAACAGGAUCCACAAGGAGCAGCCGUCUGUCGUGAAACUGUGGUGACGAUUCUUGGGAACAAAGGGGGAGGGGCCCGACACCGCUGAUGGAGCCCAGAUUGUAAAUCGGAUGUUUCUUUUGGGUCAAAAUGGAAGAAAUGUGAGGUGGUUCUCCAAGUGGCCUGGGAGCCAGAAGUGUGACACUGGCCCCUAACCACACCUGGAUAGUCACUGAAUGAAUAGGACUCCUUCAGGAUCUCUGAGGUUUGGGGGAGCACCCAAGGUCUGUCCGAUCCAUCCUUGUGCUAUAUAUAGCCUCACUUGUCAAUCAUAGUUCUCCACUUUGAUCUAAUGCUGUGAGUUACUGCAGGUUCUGGUCACACCCGGUGCUGGUGGUCUGGUGUGGUUUGUCCCUCUUGGGUUCAUGUCUGGAAGCCUGGUCCCAGUAUGGUGAUGUGAGACGCUAUGAAACCGUAAGAGGUGUAGCCUAGUGAGAAGUCAUAGGUCCUGAUGGGAAUGUUCCCCUCAGAAGAGAUUAAGAUCAUUCUCAUGGGACCCUGGCUAUCCUCAUCAGAUCAGGUGAACUAUAAAACGAACAAGUCAGCUACGGGCAGCUGAAUGAUAGAGUGCUUGCCUGCUGUGCACAAGGCCCUGGAUUCCAACCCCAGCACCACUAAAUAAAGUCCCUCCAGUUGAA
Molecule: long non-coding RNA, 1685 nt
Organism: Peromyscus leucopus (white-footed mouse)
Lineage: Eukaryota; Metazoa; Chordata; Mammalia; Rodentia; Cricetidae
Exons: 2
Source: RefSeq, a predicted model, not a curated record